CUCAUUCAUUUCUGCCACUGCCAGGCCUGCCACCUGGAGGAAGAGGAAGAGGAAGAGGAAGGAGGAGGAGGAGGAGGAGGAGAGGAGGAGGAGGAGGCAAUGGAGAUGGAGAUGGAUAGAGAUGGAGGUGGAGGAGGAGGAGGAGGAGGAGGAGGAGGAGGAGGAGGAGAAGGAAAAGGAGAAGGAGAAAAAGAAGGAGAAGGAAGAGGAGGAGGAGGAGGAAAAAGAGGAAGACGAAGUAUGUCAGCAUGCUAGAAGAAGCAAACACCACCAGCACUGAAGCAAGGCUCCUACACCAUCAACUCCACUGUACUGAAGGCCACAUUGUACGAAUGCCCGAUCACCAUCUCCCAAAGCAGUUACUCUACUCCCAACUCAAGAAUGGAAAAUGGAAUGUUGUUGGACAGGAAAAGAGAUUUAAAGAUGGGCUCAAAGCCAACCUUAAAAACUGUAGCAUAGACACCUAGAACUGCGAAGUCCUGGCCCUUGAGCACGCUAGCUGGAGGUCAGCUGUGACCAGCAGUGUUGUGGAAUUUGAAGAGGCACAAAUGGAGGGUGAAAGGGAGAAACAUGCCAAGAAGAAAGUGUGUCAAGCUAACCCUGAUUGGGACUGCCUUCCACCUGGAAACUGAUGCCCUCACUGCGGAAGAACAUGCGGGUCAAGAAUAGGGCUCUACCUACGCAUCCACCGCCAAGACACUACCCUUGGAAGGCUUGAACAAUGAAGAAUCACCUAAGUAAGAAAAUAAUUAUUAUUACUGAACAUUUAUUAUAGAAUUGCUUUAUUAACUGACUGCAUAUUUACAAAAAGACAGAACUUCCUCUGCAGGGGUAGAGUUAAUUCCUCCACAGUGAUUACUCCUUGGAAAAAAAGAAUUGAGUAGAAAAUAGCUUCUAUUAAAAUCCAUUUAAAAACA
Molecule: long non-coding RNA, 917 nt
Organism: Anolis carolinensis (green anole)
Lineage: Eukaryota; Metazoa; Chordata; Lepidosauria; Squamata; Anolidae
Exons: 2
Source: RefSeq, a predicted model, not a curated record